CCCACCCAGCUCUGUAACUCUAUCUUGUAGAGCAAAAUAUUCUCCAUUGUGAAAAAGGAUGUUUGUGAGAGGGAGUAUAAAUAGACUUUCCUCUAAAUCUUUAUAUAAUUCACUUGCGUAAGACCCUGGGGGAGGUAAGAGGUGUAAACACAUGCCCUGUGGGUGUUAUUCCAGCCUCCAGGCUGGAAUUAUGACACAGACAUUUAGACAGCCUGCUUGAUAGACUGGUUCAACAAGUCUGUUUAAAUGUAAGUAAAGCUUUUGCAUCAUCCUACACGAUUUUCUAUUUCUCCAAAUCACCCUCUAUAUUUAAAUAUUUAAUGCUGGCUGUUCUGUCCUGCAUUUCUUUCCCUAGAUCUUGUCUGAACAUGCUGUCCUUUGUCACUGAAAAUGAGUAUGUGCAGCAGACCUUGCAUUGACCUUCUGGACAGUUCUUGCACAUAAUUCAGAGAAUUUGACUGUAAGACUCAGAAAACGUUGCUGUCCUUGUUUUCAUCUGGAUGUCUCUAUAUCCUAUGUAUACCCAGCAUAAACUAGAUGUUUCCCUUUGGUUGACCAUCUACUAAGGUGGGACAUACCAAUUAGUCUACAUGGUAUAUGAAAUUAUGCUUCUUAAACUACACAAGUGACUGAGAAUUUGGUAAGUUGCCACCAUGCUAAGUAGGACUUGAUAGAUUUCAAGUCAUGUCUUGACAUUGAUUUAAU
This is a long non-coding RNA of Columba livia (rock pigeon), 705 nucleotides long. RefSeq lists it as uncharacterized. NCBI's taxonomy places the organism in Eukaryota, Metazoa, Chordata, Aves, Columbiformes, Columbidae. The transcript is spliced from 3 exons. The record is from RefSeq and is a predicted model, not a curated record.